This 253-nucleotide ribosomal RNA is filed under the name uncultured bacterium. Its description in RNAcentral is "partial 16S ribosomal RNA". It matches the Rfam family "Bacterial small subunit ribosomal RNA", at positions 524 to 776 of the family's 1533-position model. The record is from RNAcentral.
UACGUAGGUGGCAAGCGUUGUCCGGAAUUAUUGGGCGUAAAGCGCGCGCAGGCGGCCUUUUAAGUCUGAUGUGAAGGCCCACGGCUCAACCGUGGAAGGUCAUUGGAAACUGAAAGGCUUGAGUACAGAAGAGGAAAGCGGAAUUCCACGUGUAGCGGUGAAAUGCGUAGAGAUGUGGAGGAACACCAGUGGCGAAGGCGGCUUUCUGGUCUGUAACUGACGCUGAGGCGCGAAAGCGUGGGGAGCAAACAGG